RNAcentral lists this ribosomal RNA (301 nucleotides) under uncultured bacterium. Its description in RNAcentral is "partial 16S ribosomal RNA". It matches the Rfam family "Bacterial small subunit ribosomal RNA", at positions 509 to 807 of the family's 1533-position model. The record is from RNAcentral.
CAGUCGCCGCGGUAAUACGGAGGGUGCAAGCGUUAAUCGGAAUUACUGGGCGUAAAGCGUGCGUAGGUGGUGGUUUAAGUCCGUUGUGAAAGCCCUGGGCUCAACCUGGGAAUUGCAGUGGAUACUGGGUCACUAGAGUGUGGUAGAGGAUAGUGGAAUUUCCGGUGUAGCAGUGAAAUGCGUAGAGAUCGGAAGGAACAUCUGUGGCGAAGGCGACUAUCUGGGCCAACACUGACACUGAGGCACGAAAGCGUGGGGAGCAAACAGGAUUAGAUACCCCAGUAGUCCCUGUCUCUUAUAC